Molecule: ribosomal RNA, 229 nt
Filed under: uncultured bacterium
Lineage: Bacteria
Description: partial 16S ribosomal RNA
Rfam family: Bacterial small subunit ribosomal RNA
Source: RNAcentral
UGCGUAGGCGGCGUUAUAAGUCGGAGGUGAAAGCUUGCAGCUUAACUGUAAAAUUGCCUCUGAUACUGUAGUGCUUGAAUCAGGUUGAGGUCAGCGGAAUGUGGCAUGUAGCGGUGAAAUGCAUAGAUAUGCCAUAGAACACUAAUUGCGAAGGCAGCUGGCUGGGCCUGUAUUGACGCUGAGGCACGAAAGCGUGGGUAGCGAACAGGAUUAGAUACCCUGGUAGUCC